UGGCGUAUAGCUCAGUGGUAGAGCACGUGCUUGCACAAGGUCCUGGGUUCAAUCCCCAGUACUUCCA
RNAcentral lists this transfer RNA (67 nucleotides) under Camelus ferus (Wild Bactrian camel). It matches the Rfam family "tRNA". From Rfam's summary of the family: Transfer RNA (tRNA) molecules are approximately 80 nucleotides in length. Their secondary structure includes four short double-helical elements and three loops (D, anti-codon, and T loops). Further hydrogen bonds mediate the characteristic L-shaped molecular structure. tRNAs have two regions of fundamental functional importance: the anti-codon, which is responsible for specific mRNA codon recognition, and the 3' end, to which the tRNAs corresponding amino acid is attached (by aminoacyl-tRNA synthetases). tRNAs cope with the degeneracy of the genetic code in two manners: having more than one tRNA (with a specific anti-codon) for a particular amino acid; and 'wobble' base-pairing, i.e. permitting non-standard base-pairing at the 3rd anti-codon position. Lineage: Eukaryota; Metazoa; Chordata; Mammalia; Artiodactyla; Camelidae. The record is from Rfam by way of RNAcentral.